GCCUGGCUGGCUCAGUCGGUGGAGCGGGCGACUCUUAAUCUCAGGGUUGUGGGUUCGAGCCCCACGUUGGGUG
Molecule: transfer RNA, 73 nt
Filed under: Felis catus (domestic cat)
Lineage: Eukaryota; Metazoa; Chordata; Mammalia; Carnivora; Felidae
Rfam family: tRNA
About the family: Transfer RNA (tRNA) molecules are approximately 80 nucleotides in length. Their secondary structure includes four short double-helical elements and three loops (D, anti-codon, and T loops).
Source: Rfam by way of RNAcentral